AAAAUCUUUAAUAAUCAGAUUAUGUAAGUAAUAGUACAAAAAAUUAUCAUUACCUUAAAUCGUACAAAAUAUAAAUUUAUCAUCUAAAAUUUUGAAGUUCGAAAAUUUUGUAUUACCAGUUUUAAGUUUGGUGUCAGCUGACGUUUAAUUUGAGAACUCUUUUCUAAAUCUUCGUUUUUGAGCCUCUGGAACUCCUUGGAUGGCUCUCCAACAAUCAAGCUUCCUCGUCUUGUAUUUCCUUCUCAUGUGUAAGCCCACUCUCUUUCUAUUUCUGCUUUUUCGCUUUGGUUGAUAUCUGAACGUCUGUUGCUUCCGCAAUUGUCUGAUUCUUCACUUUCCUAUUCAAUCCUACGCGGUUUUUUUGUUUUCUUUCACCACCCCACUAUUCCUGUUCCCCCAAAACCGCCAAAGAUUUAUCCUUUUUGGUUUCCCAGAUGGAGAAAGAGCCCCUACUGUCAAAUUACAGCCCAAGAAGGAGAACGUCUCAACUGUCAUCGUUGCUCUCCACUCUCCCCGAGCAUGAUGAAGUCUCUCUACCUAU
Molecule: unclassified non-coding RNA, 541 nt
Filed under: Hevea brasiliensis (rubber tree)
Lineage: Eukaryota; Viridiplantae; Streptophyta; Magnoliopsida; Malpighiales; Euphorbiaceae
Source: RNAcentral